Molecule: ribosomal RNA, 469 nt
Filed under: uncultured organism
Description: partial 16S ribosomal RNA
Rfam family: Bacterial small subunit ribosomal RNA
Source: RNAcentral
ACUCCUGCGGGAGGCAGCAGUGGGGAAUAUUGCACAAUGGGCGCAAGCCUGAUGCAGCCAUGCCGCGUGUAUGAAGAAGGCCUUCGGGUUGUAAAGUACUUUCAGCGGGGAGGAAGGCGAUAAGGUUAAUAACCUUGUCGAUUGACGUUACCCGCAGAAGAAGCACCGGCUAACUCCGUGCCAGCAGCCGCGGUAAUACGGAGGGUGCAAGCGUUAAUCGGAAUUACUGGGCGUAAAGCGCACGCAGGCGGUCUGUCAAGUCGGAUGUGAAAUCCCCGGGCUCAACCUGGGAACUGCAUUCGAAACUGGCAGGCUAGAGUCUUGUAGAGGGGGGUAGAAUUCCAGGUGUAGCGGUGAAAUGCGUAGAGAUCUGGAGGAAUACCGGUGGCGAAGGCGGCCCCCUGGACAAAGACUGACGCUCAGGUGCGAAAGCGUGGGGAGCAAACAGGAUUAGAAACCCCGGUAGUCC